GACGAACGCUGGCGGCGUGCCUAAUACAUGCAAGUCGAACGAACCGCGACUAAGUGCUUGCACUAAGUCAAGGUGAGUGGCGAACGGGUGAGUAACACGUGGGUAACCUACCUCAUAGUGGGGAAUAACAGUCGGAAACGACUGCUAAUACCGCACAGGACAUAGGAUCACAUGAUCCAGUGAGGAAAGGUGGCGCAAGCUAUCGCUAAGAGAUGGACCCGCGGUGCAUUAGCUAGUUGGUAGGGUAAAGGCCUACCAAGGCGAUGAUGCAUAGCCGACCUGAGAGGGUGAUCGGCCACAUUGGGACUGAGACACGGCCCAAACUCCUACGGGAGGCAGCAGUAGGGAAUCUUCCGCAAUGGACGCAAGUCUGACGGAGCAACGCCGCGUGAGUGAAGAAGGUCUUCGGAUCGUAAAGCUCUGUUGUUAGAGAAGAACAGCGCAUAGAGUAACUGCUAUGCGUGUGACGGUAUCUAACCAGAAAGCCACGGCUAACUACGUG
RNAcentral lists this ribosomal RNA (502 nucleotides) under uncultured bacterium. RNAcentral describes it as "partial 16S ribosomal RNA". It matches the Rfam family "Bacterial small subunit ribosomal RNA", at positions 28 to 507 of the family's 1533-position model. The record is from RNAcentral.